ACGCUUUGCAGUACCUCAUUAAACCCAGUAUUUUAGCUGUUCCAUGAAGUCCACAUUCAUUUCUAUAUAUCUUGCUCCACUGAUUAUGAAUCUCAGUAUCUCUUAAACAGAACCUUUCGUUUUUCUUCCCCUUUCUGCGCAUACUAACUCUUAUUUCUCUUGCAAAAACCUUUCUUUACACUUUCGGUCUUUAUCUUGCAAAGUAUGGCUGAACACAUCCCAUUCGGCAUUGCACAAAACUUAUUAACAAAGCUGGCAUCAUCUGCCUUCCAAGAAAUAGGAUUGAUAUAUGGUGUCAAAAAUGAUCUUUGUAGGCUUGAAAAUACUUUCUCCACUAUUAAAGCUGUACUUCUAGAUGCUGAGAAGAAGCAGGCGAACAGUCAUGCAGUGAAGAGCUGGAUAAAGAGACUUCAAGAUGUUGUCUAUGAUGCAGAUUACUUGCUGGAUGACAUGGCAACUGAAGGUUUGCGAAGAAAG
This 477-nucleotide unclassified non-coding RNA is filed under the name Hevea brasiliensis (rubber tree). The record is from RNAcentral. Lineage: Eukaryota; Viridiplantae; Streptophyta; Magnoliopsida; Malpighiales; Euphorbiaceae.